Molecule: long non-coding RNA, 640 nt
Filed under: Toxoplasma gondii VEG
Lineage: Eukaryota; Apicomplexa; Conoidasida; Eucoccidiorida; Sarcocystidae
Source: RNAcentral
GCAAUCGUAGUUGUAGCAGAGCAAUAUGUUUGUGGCUGUCCUGCUGGACCGACUGUCAUUGCGUGACGUGCGUAACUACGGAACGGAGGUUUCGAUUGCUGACCUCGUUGUUGCGUUUGCUUUUUCUGGAAGCCGUGUCCUCCACUGGCAUCCAGUUUGGACGCUUGUGUUGACUGGUGCCACGUUUUGGUGGUUUUUUUUCGACCCGCGUGCUGUACAGGAAUCAAAUGAAGUGUUGCUGCCCUCAUAACGAGUUGUUCUCAGUAUCGUGGGACCUGUCGUGUGUUCGUGUCAAGGCUGACGAGGAUGAAGACGGCAAGGUUGUUCCGCAAGAAGCAGCCAGUUGACGGGCUCUGAGUAUGCGCGCCACAUUUGUUGAGGUACGGAUGCUGAGGUUCCAGUUUCGGGUCCUCUGCUCUGUUUCGACGGAUGUGAGGGUGCCUAUGCUUGCCCUGAUACUCGGCGAGACUUCUGUGCGCGCAGAGUAAAGUAGUUUUCAAUCUGAGUCCGUCACGCCUUUGUUCUGUGUUUCCUGGAGAGUUCGAUCAGAAGGGACCCCGUUCUUUUGUUUGGUUCAACAGUGAGAAAUAGAGUCCUGUAGAGCACCUCGAAGUCUAAGACAUCAGAACUUCAGUCUGGU